RNAcentral lists this ribosomal RNA (301 nucleotides) under uncultured bacterium. RNAcentral's name for it is "partial 16S ribosomal RNA". It matches the Rfam family "Bacterial small subunit ribosomal RNA", at positions 509 to 808 of the family's 1533-position model. The record is from RNAcentral.
CAGCAGCCGCGGGAAUACGGAGGGUGCAAGCGUUAAUCGGAAUUACUGGGCGUAAAGCGUGCGUAGGCGGUUCGUUAAGUCUGUUGUGAAAGCCCCGGGCUCAACCUGGGAAUGGCAAUGGAUACUGGCGAGCUAGAGUGUGUCAGAGGAUGGUGGAAUUCCCGGUGUAGCGGUGAAAUGCGUAGAGAUCGGGAGGAACAUCAGUGGCGAAGGCGGCCAUCUGGGACAACACUGACGCUGAGGCACGAAAGCGUGGGGAGCAAACAGGAUUAGAUACCCCUGUGUCCCUGUCUCUUAUACC